CACACACUGACAUACAUAUGGACACACGGAGACACAUACACUAACAGACAUGCUGACACACACACACAUAUACUGACAGACAUAUUGACACACAUUCACAGACACACACACAGGCAUACUGACACACACACGCACUGACAGACAUACUGACACAUACACUGACAGACAUACUAACACACACACGCACUGACAGAAAUACUGACACACACACGCACUGACAGACAUACUGACACAUACACUGACAGACAUACUGACACACACACGCACUGACAGACAUACUGACACACACACGCACUGACAGACAUACUGACACACGCACUGAAAGACAUACUGACACACGCACUGACAGACAUACUGACACACGCACUGACAGACAUACUGACACACGCACUGACAGACAUACUGACACACGCACUGAC
Molecule: non-coding RNA, 419 nt
Organism: Pelobates cultripes (western spadefoot toad)
Lineage: Eukaryota; Metazoa; Chordata; Amphibia; Anura; Pelobatidae
Source: the annotation of a GenBank genome assembly